UCGUAACAAGGUUUCCGUAGGUGAACCUGCGGAAGGAUCAUUAUUGAAUAUUCUUGAUGGGUUGUAGCUGGCUCUUCGGGGCAUGUGCACGCUUGUCUUGACUUAAUUCAUCCACCUGUGCACAUUUUGUAGUCUUGGGGGCUGAGAGCAGUCGACUAUCGGGAUGGCUAUGGCUUUUCCGGAUGUGAGGAAUGCUGAGUGCGAAAGCAUACAGCUCUUCUCAAAUGACUUGCAAAACCUCUCCCUCGAGUACUAUGUAUUCAUAUACCACAUAGUAUGUUGUAGAAUGUGAUCAAUGGGCCUAUGUGCCUAUAAUAAUUAUAUACAACUUUCAGCAACGGAUCUCUUGGCUCUCGCAUCGAUGAAGAACGCAGCGAAAUGCGAUAAGUAAUGUGAAUUGCAGAAUUCAGUGAAUCAUCGAAUCUUUGAACGCACCUUGCGCUCCUUGGUAUUCCGAGGAGCAUGCCUGUUUGAGUGUCAUUAAAUUCUCAACCCCUCCAGCUUUUGCGAGUUGUGAUGGGGCUUGGAUGUGGGAGUUUGCGGGUCCUUUAUCAAUAAAGGUCAGCUCUCCUGAAAUGCAUUAGCGGAACCGUUUGCAGUCCCGUCACUAGUGUGAUAAUUAUCUACACUGUGAUGGAUUGCUCUCUGACUAGUUCAGCUGCUAAUCGUCCACUAUGGACAACGCUUUAAUGAACUUCUUGACCUCAAAUCAGGUAGGACUACCCGCUGAACUUAAGCAUAUCAAUA
RNAcentral lists this ribosomal RNA (747 nucleotides) under Pseudoperdon subcretaceum. RNAcentral's name for it is "eukaryotic LSU rRNA". The stretch from base 327 to 480 matches the Rfam family "5.8S ribosomal RNA". Lineage: Eukaryota; Fungi; Basidiomycota; Agaricomycetes; Agaricales; Lycoperdaceae. The record is from RNAcentral.